Molecule: ribosomal RNA, 468 nt
Filed under: uncultured bacterium
Lineage: Bacteria
Description: partial 16S ribosomal RNA
Rfam family: Bacterial small subunit ribosomal RNA
Source: RNAcentral
GACGAACGCUGGCGGCGUGCUUAACACAUGCAAGUCGAACGGAAAGGCCCUGCUUUUGUGGGGUGCUCGAGUGGCGAACGGGUGAGUAACACGUGAGUAACCUGCCCUUGACUUUGGGAUAACUCCAGGAAACUGGGGCUAAUACCGGAUAGGAGCUCCUGCUGCAUGGUGGGGGUUGGAAAGUUUCGGCGGUUGGGGCUGGACUCGCGGCUUAUCAGCUUGUUGGUGGGGUAGUGGCUUACAAAGGGUUUGACGGGUAGCCGGCCUGAGAGGGUGACCGGCCACAUUGGGACUGAGAGACGGCCCAGACUCCUACGGGAGGCAGCAGUGGGGAAUAUUACACAAUGGGCGGAAGCCUGAUGCAGCAACGCCGCGUGCGUGAUGACGGCCUUCGGGUUGUAAACCGCUUUCGCCUGUGACGAAGCGUGAGUGACGGUAAUGGGUAAAGAAGCACCGGCUAACUACGUG